GACGAACGCUGGCGGCGUGCUUAACACAUGCAAGUCGAACGCCCCGCAAGGGGAGUGGCAGACGGGUGAGUAACACGUGGGAACGUACCCUUUGGUUCGGAAUAACUUGGGGAAACUCAAGCUAAUACCGGAUAAGCCCUUAUGGGGAAAGGUUUACUGCCGAAGGAUCGGCCCGCGUCUGAUUAGCUAGUUGGUGAGGUAACGGCUCACCAAGGCGACGAUCAGUAGCUGGUCUGAGAGGAUGAUCAGCCACACUGGGGCUGAGACACGGCCCAGACUCCUACGGGAGGCAGCAGUGGGGAAUAUUGGACAAUGGGGGCAACCCUGAUCCGGCCAUGCCGCGUGAGUGAUGAAGGCCUUAGGGUUGUAAAGCUCUUUUACCCGGGACGAUAAUGACUGUACCGGGAGAAUAAGCCCCGGCUAACUUCGUGCCAGCCGCCGCCGUAA
Molecule: ribosomal RNA, 447 nt
Filed under: uncultured bacterium
Lineage: Bacteria
Description: partial 16S ribosomal RNA
Rfam family: Bacterial small subunit ribosomal RNA
Source: RNAcentral